GACGAACGCUGGCGGCGUGCUUAACACAUGCAAGUCGAACGGAAAGGCCCUGCUUUUGUGGGGUGCUCGAGUGGCGAACGGGUGAGUAACACGUGAGUAACCUGCCCUUGACUUUGGGAUAACUUCAGGAAACUGGGGCUAAUACCGGAUAGGAGCUCCUGCUGCAUGGUGGGGGUUGGAAAGUUUCGGCGGUUGGGGAUGGACUCGCGGCUUAUCAGCUUGUUGGUGGGGUAGUGGCUUACCAAGGCUUUGACGGGUAGCCGGCCUGAGAGGGUGACCGGCCACAUUGGGACUGAGAUACGGCCCAGACUCCUACGGGAGGCAGCAGUGGGGAAUAUUGCACAAUGGGCGGAAGCCUGAUGCAGCAACGCCGCGUGCGGGAUGACGGCCUUCGGGUUGUAAACCGCUUUCGCCCGUGACGAAGCGUGAGUGACGGUAAUGGGUAAAGAAGCACCGGCUAACUACGUGCCAGCAGCCGCGGUGAUACGUAGGGUGCGAGCGUUGUCCGGAUUUAUUGGGCGUAAAGGGCUCGUAGGUGGUUGAUCGCGUCGGAAGUGUAAUCUUGGGGCUUAACCCUGAGCGUGCUUUCGAUACGGGUUGACUUGAGGAAGGUAGGGGAGAAUGGAAUUCCUGGUGGAGCGGUGGAAUGCGCAGAUAUCAGGAGGAACACCAGUGGCGAAGGCGGUUCUCUGGGCCUUUCCUGACGCUGAGGAGCGAAAGCGUGGGGAGCGAACAGGCUUAGAUACCCUGGUAGUCCACGCUGUAAACGGUGGGUACUAGGUGUGGGGUCCAUUCCACGGGUUCCGUGCCGUAGCUAACGCUUUAAGUACCCCGCCUGGGGAGUACGGCCGCAAGGCUAAAACUCAAAGGAAUUGACGGGGCCCCGCACAAGCGGCGGAGCAUGCGGAUUAAUUCGAUGCAACGCGUAGAACCUUACCUGGGUUUGACAUGGAUCGGGAGCGCUCAGAGAUGGGUGUGCCUCUUUUGGGGUCGGUUCACAGGUGGUGCAUGGCUGUCGUCAGCUCGUGUCGUGAGAUGUUGGGUUAAGUCCCGCAACGAGCGCAACCCUUGUUCACUGUUGCCAGCACGUUAUGGUGGGGACUCAGUGGAGACCGCCGGGGUCAACUCGGAGGAAGGUGGGGAUGACGUCAAGUCAUCAUGCCCCUUAUGUCCAGGGCUUCACGCAUGCUACAAUGGCUGGUACAGAGAGUGGCGAGCCUGUGAGGGUGAGCGAAUCUCGGAAAGCCGGUCUCAGUUCGGAUUGGGGUCUGCAACUCGACCUCACGAAGUCGGAGUCGCUAGUAAUCGCAGAUCAGCAACGCUGCGGUGAAUACGUUCCCGGGGCU
This 1346-nucleotide ribosomal RNA is filed under the name uncultured bacterium. Its description in RNAcentral is "bacterial SSU rRNA". It matches the Rfam family "Bacterial small subunit ribosomal RNA", at positions 28 to 1381 of the family's 1533-position model. The record is from RNAcentral.